This 803-nucleotide ribosomal RNA is filed under the name uncultured bacterium. RNAcentral's name for it is "bacterial SSU rRNA". It matches the Rfam family "Bacterial small subunit ribosomal RNA", at positions 8 to 796 of the family's 1533-position model. The record is from RNAcentral.
AGAGUUUGAUCAUGGCUCAGGACGAACGCUGGCGGCGNNNUUAACACAUGCAAGUCGAGCGAGAACCGAAGCCUUCGGGCAUCGGGGAAAGCGGCGAACGGGUGAGUAACACGUGGGCAACCCACCCUUGGUACCGGGAUAGCCCGGGGAAACCCGGAUUAAUACCGGAUGGCCCAGCAGCUCUUCGGGGUGGCUGGAAAAGGGAGCUUCGGCCUCCGACCAAGGACGGGCCCGCGGCGGAUUAGCUUGUUGGUGGGGUAACGGCUCACCAAGGCGACGAUCCGUAGCUGGUCUGAGAGGACGAUCAGCCACACUGGGACUGAGACACGGCCCAGACUCCUACGGGAGGCAGCAGUGGGGAAUCUUGCGCAAUGGGCGAAAGCCUGACGCAGCGACGCCGCGUGGGGGAAGAAGGCUUUCGGGUUGUAAACCCCUUUCAGGAAGGACGAAGCUACUCGGGUGAAUAGCCCAGAGGGUGACGGUACUUCCAGAAGAAGCCCCGGCUAACUACGUGCCAGCAGCCGCGGUAAUACGUAGGGGGCAAGCGUUGUCCGGAUUUAUUGGGCGUAAAGAGCGUGUAGGCGGCCAUGUAGGUCCGUUGUGAAAACUCGAGGCUCAACCUCGAGACGCCGAUGGAAACCAUGUGGCUAGAGUCCGGAAGAGGAGAGUGGAAUUCCUGGUGUAGCGGUGAAAUGCGCAGAUAUCAGGAAGAACACCCGUGGCUAAGGCGGCUCUCUAGUACGGUACUGACGCUGANNNNCGAAAGCGUGGGGAGCAAACAGGAUUAGAUACCCNNGUAGUCC